Gallus gallus (chicken) is the source of this 2414-nucleotide long non-coding RNA. The record is from Ensembl. NCBI's taxonomy places the organism in Eukaryota, Metazoa, Chordata, Aves, Galliformes, Phasianidae.
CAGCAGCAAAAUUUAUAUAAAGGGUAUAUAAAUGUGAGGCUAAUUUACAUAGAGCAGGAGAUAAGGAAAAUAAUGCAUCAGGAUCCAAAGUUUUACUGUCUCUCCUUUCCAAAAGAGACACCUGUUCCACACAGCCUACAAGCGUGACUGACAUUGGUGUGGCUAUUGCCCAUCCCUCCAGGGAAUCUCCCUGGGAGCUGAGUCCAUCUGACCACUGCUUCGUGCUUGGCUGAGCAGCAGCACUGGGGUCCAUGACACAUUCAGACAUGCCCCAAGUACAGCGUGAGCAGCACACGUCCAUUUCCGAUGGUGAAGCAGCUUUUCUGCAUAAAGAGGACAUGGUGUUUCCAGUGGAGGAUGCAUUCUCUGAUUGUGUAUUAGUGGUCAGAUGCUGAGCUGGUGAACUCCUUUCCUCACAGGUAGAAAGAACUCUUGUGCAAGUCAAAAGCAGGGAACUUUGCAAUACCACCACCUGCCUUCUUCUACUGCUGCUGUUAGGUGCCUGAACUCCCUGGUUGCAUGGUUGUGACACUCCUGGGCACCUUGCAUGUGAUGUGACCAGCACCUCAGCCACCGAGACACACCACCAAGAGAGCCCGAGCUUCAACCCUGUGCUGUUUUUCUCCCUCUCCAAUGCCUACACAAUUAUGUGGAAGGCCCAGGCUACACAAACAAGACUUUGCAGUGUGUGUCAAAUCCUGCCUCCCAGAGCAAUCUUUUUGGCUUUGUCUCUCCAGAGCUUUUUGAUCAAAUUUACCAUUUCCCUAAGGAUGACAAGACUUCAGAGUUAGUUACAUCAGUAAAAGAAGAAAGAAGGAACCAGCCUAUCGCUAUUCCCUUGGUCCAAGACUCUGCAUCCUGGAUCACCUCUGCUUUCCCAUUUGGAGUCCAUACUCCCUCACUGCAGAAACAGGGAUUUGCAAGCAGAACUGAUCAAAGGAAGGAAAGGGGGAAGAAAAGCUGUGGGGCUGGUGCCUGUGGGCUGGAGCUCCUCAGUUGCCCAGAGAAGCAGCGGGUGGAAAGAGUAGAGGAAAGAGGCUUCCUGUAGGAAAAGAAAGAGCCUGCUUGGAUUACAGGCAAAAAUCUGGAAGGAUUUUUUUUUUAAGAGGAUUUCAGUGGUUACAACUUGUUACCUGAGCAAUGGUUAGUGGUAGCUGAUGGAGACCCUAGAAACAACACAACACCUUAUUUUCUGCUGCCUAUGAUCACAGUGUCCAGCUGUUAUUUUCAUCCUCCAAAGUAGCAUGAUGUACAAUUCCAUUCAGAUUUCCAUUUCCUUUUUUCACCAGAUAUGUCACCUUUUCUGUUUUCCCUAUAAAUACAUAAAUGUAAGACUUCUCUCCCUUCUUACUGCUAAACUUCUCAACUAAUGUCAAGAGGCAGGAGUCAGUGAAGAGUUUAUUAAGCAGACUUCUCCGUAGGAUCAGUUUUGCAGUUAUGCAUAAUACAACUUCACUUCUUUUAUUUUUCCUUAAGUAAAAAGUAGGGAAAGGGAGUUAUUUUAAAUUUAUGAGCUGAUGAGACAGUGAGUAAUGGUGAAUCACUGUUUAAUAUUUUAGGCAACCAUCUGCAAGGUGAGCUGUACUCCCAUCUCAUAUUGCUAGAACAAAGAAGUCACCUCAAGUUUCACAAACAGCAUCAGUCUCGCAUCAACCCCAAAAGGCAGUAUUCAGCACCAAAAGCAAGCAUCCUCCACCUAGGCAUCUUACUCAAACAGUCUUAAAACACAGGAGGAAAAGAAGCAAAACUACGAUCCAGGGGAGGUUCAGGACGGGUAUUAGGAAGCAUCUCUGCUCAGAAAGAGCGGUGAUGCAGUGGCACGGGCUGCCCAGGGAGGUGGUGCAGUCACUGUCCCUGGAGGUGUUCAGGAGCUGUGGAGAUGUGGCACUGAGGGACGUGGUUAAUGGGCAUGGUGGGGUGGGCUGGGGGUUGGACUAGAUAACCUGAGAGAUCUUUUCCAACCUUAAUGAUUCUAUGGUUCUAUAUUCUGCUUCUCCCACAAAGCACUAUCCAAAUACUCUGAAAUCCCACAUAGCUCAGGAAAACUUCUGUUAUAUCUGCCAUUUCCGUAUUUCCCCCUCCUCCUGCUCCCAGUGCUGGUAUGCACAUCAGUCUCCUGGUCAUUUUUGCUUUCAUGACAGCAUCGUCUCUCCAGAGUGGCCACAUAACCUGUGCCAAACACUCCUGCUGCCAUGUGGCAAGGCUACCUUUACCAUGUGUUAGCAGCAAAAUGCAAGCACAGCCUCUAGGCACAGCCGGGAAGCCUGUCUUUCUCCAAGGGCAUUUUCAAGUUUCCUUCCUUGAUUAAUGCAUGUUAAGGCUGACUAAUUUCAUAACUUCCAUCCCUGUAGCUGUUCUACAGCAGGGGAAAAUGCAAUUUCCUCUUAGUUGGCAAGUGUCACAACAGCUUUGUG